AAUUCUCGACUGCCUCUCGGGGUGAAGUCGGAUUUGAAGCGUGUUUUUGCCAGGCUUUGUUGUUUUGGCUGCUUCUAAAAGCAUUCGAGUUCAUAUCUCCAUGCAAAGUAUCUUUGACGUGAUAAUCAAUCUACGUCGCGGAGAAAAGCUUAGAGGGGGGGAAGGGCUUGUGAAUGUGGUUUCGGUGUUGAUCU
RNAcentral lists this unclassified non-coding RNA (194 nucleotides) under uncultured Sarcodon. Its description in RNAcentral is "sequence contains ITS2". The record is from RNAcentral. Lineage: Eukaryota; Fungi; Basidiomycota; Agaricomycetes; Thelephorales; Thelephoraceae.